CCUACGGGAGGCAGCAGUGGGGAAUAUUGGGCAAUGGGCGCAAGCCUGACCCAGCAACGCCGCGUGAAGGAAGAAGGCUUUCGGGUUGUAAACUUCUUUUCUCAGGGACGAAAAAAGUGACGGUACCCGAUGAAUAAGCCUCGGCUAACUACGUGCCAGCAGCCGCGGUAAUACGUAGGUGGCAAGCGUUAUCCGGAUUUACUGGGUGUAAAGGGCGGGUAGGCGGGAAAGCAAGUCAGAGGUGAAAACUCAGGGCUCAACCCUGAGCCUGCAUUGGAAACUGUUCUUCUUGAGUGCUGGAGAGGUAAGCGGAAUUCCGGGGGUAGCGGUGAAAUGCGUAGAUAGAAGGAGGAACACCAGUGGCGAAGGCGGAUUGCUGGACAGUAACUGACGCUGAGGCGCGAAAGCGUGGGGAGCAAACAGGAUUAGAUACCCCAGUAGUC
This 443-nucleotide ribosomal RNA is filed under the name uncultured bacterium. Its description in RNAcentral is "partial 16S ribosomal RNA". It matches the Rfam family "Bacterial small subunit ribosomal RNA", at positions 338 to 795 of the family's 1533-position model. The record is from RNAcentral.